AGUGAACGCUGGCGGUAGGCCUAACACAUGCAAGUCGAACGGCAGCACAGUAAGAGCUUGCUCUUACGGGUGGCGAGUGGCGGACGGGUGAGGAAUACAUCGGAAUCUACUUUUUCGUGGGGGAUAACGUAGGGAAACUUACGCUAAUACCGCAAACGACCUACGGGUGAAAGCAGGGGAGCUUCGGACCUUUCGCGAUUGAAUGAGCCGAUGUCGGUUUAGCUAGUUGGCGGGGUAAAGGCCCACCAAGGCGACGAUCCGUAGCUGGUCUGAGAGGAUGAUCAGCCACACUGGAACUGAGACACGGUCCAGACUCCUACGGGAGGCAGCAGUGGGGAAUAUUGGACAAUGGGCGCAAGCCUGAUCCAGCCAUACCGCGUGGGUGAAGAAGGCCUUCGGGUUGUAAAGCCCUUUUGUUGGGAAAGAAAAUCAGCAGAUUAAUACCCCGCUGUUCUGACGGUACCCAAAGAGUAAGCACCGGCUAACUUCGUG
RNAcentral lists this ribosomal RNA (492 nucleotides) under uncultured bacterium. RNAcentral's name for it is "partial 16S ribosomal RNA". It matches the Rfam family "Bacterial small subunit ribosomal RNA", at positions 29 to 507 of the family's 1533-position model. The record is from RNAcentral.